RNAcentral lists this ribosomal RNA (481 nucleotides) under uncultured bacterium. RNAcentral describes it as "partial 16S ribosomal RNA". It matches the Rfam family "Bacterial small subunit ribosomal RNA", at positions 28 to 507 of the family's 1533-position model. The record is from RNAcentral.
GACGAACGCUGGCGGCGUGCUUAACACAUGCGAGUCGAACGGGAUCCGGGCUUUCGGGUUUGGUGAGAGUGGCGAACGGAUGAGUAACACGUGAGUAACCUGCCCCCUUCUUUGGGAUAACGUCGGGAAAUCGGCGCUAAUACUGGAUAUUCUUGCUGCAUCGCAUGGUGUGGUUUGGAAAGGGUUUCUGGUGGGGGAUGGGCUCGCGGCCUAUCAGCUUGUUGGUGGGGUGAUGGCCUACCAAGGCUUUGACGGGUAGCCGGCCUGAGAGGGUGUCCGGCCACACUGGGACUGAGACACGGCCCAGACUCCUACGGGAGGCAGCAGUGGGGAAUAUUGCACAAUGGGCGCAAGCCUGAUGCAGCGACGCCGCGUGAGGGAUGACGGCCUUCGGGUUGUAAACCCCUUUCAGUAUGGAACAAGGAUCCUUCUUUUGGGGGGUUUGAGGGUACGUGCAGAAGAAGCGCCGGCUAACUACGUG